GGCCUAGUGGCGUAAGACAUCGCACCCUCGAUUAUUGCAAGGUAAUCUCAAACACUAUUCGAGGGAGGUCCUGGUUCGAGUCCAGGCUAGGUCA
Molecule: non-coding RNA, 94 nt
Organism: Mycena latifolia
Lineage: Eukaryota; Fungi; Basidiomycota; Agaricomycetes; Agaricales; Mycenaceae
Source: the annotation of a GenBank genome assembly